RNAcentral lists this ribosomal RNA (446 nucleotides) under uncultured bacterium. RNAcentral describes it as "partial 16S ribosomal RNA". It matches the Rfam family "Bacterial small subunit ribosomal RNA", at positions 338 to 795 of the family's 1533-position model. The record is from RNAcentral.
CCUACGGGUGGCUGCAGUCGAGAAUCAUUCACAAUGGGGGAAACCCUGAUGGUGCGACGCCGCGUGGGGGAAUGAAGGUCUUCGGAUUGUAAACCCCUGUCAUGUGGGAGCAAAUUAAAAAGAUAGUACCACAAGAGGAAGAGACGGCUAACUCGGUGCCAGCAGCCGCGGUAAUACAGAGGUCUCAAGCGUUGUUCGGAGUCACUGGGCGUAAAGCGUGCGUAGGCGGGUUCGUAAGUCGUGUGUGAAAGGCGCGGGCUCAACCAGCGGAGGGCACAGGUUACUGGGAGACUUGAGUACGGGAGAGGGAAGCGGAAUUCGCGGUGUAGCAGUGAAAUGCUUAGAUAUCGAGAGGAACACUCGUGGCGAAGGCGGGUUCCUGGACAUUAACUGACGCUGAGGCACGAAGGCCAGGGGAGCGAAAGGGAUUAGAUACCCUUGUAGUC